Molecule: transfer RNA, 86 nt
Filed under: Deltaproteobacteria bacterium
Lineage: Bacteria; Pseudomonadati; Myxococcota; Myxococcia
Also listed under: 1 other name
Description: tRNA-Ser
Rfam family: tRNA
About the family: Transfer RNA (tRNA) molecules are approximately 80 nucleotides in length. Their secondary structure includes four short double-helical elements and three loops (D, anti-codon, and T loops).
Source: RNAcentral
GGAGGGAUGGCCGAGUGGCUUAAGGCGGCGGUCUUGAAAACCGCUGGGUGAAAGCCCCGUGGGUUCGAAUCCUACUCCCUCCGCCA